Long non-coding RNA from Python bivittatus (Burmese python), 685 nucleotides. RefSeq lists it as uncharacterized. NCBI's taxonomy places the organism in Eukaryota, Metazoa, Chordata, Lepidosauria, Squamata, Pythonidae. The record is from RefSeq and is a predicted model, not a curated record.
UUUGCUGGGAGAGGGUGGUUAUGCCCGGGACGUCCUCCAGAGAGCCACACGGGAGAGUCAGCUUCACCCAGCCAGAAGCACUGACAGCUGCAGAUGGAUGAUGGACGCCGUGGAUCAACACAGCUGGGGGGCACCAGGGCUCCAUCAAAGCCAGGGUAUCUUUUCUGCAAUCAGUGCGAGAGGCUCUGUGUGUAUACGAGCGAAAAGCACAAUACCUUGUGUUGUCGUAUUGAAUUACACGGGGCUUAUGUCACCGCUUCCUCAUCCAGUGAUCUGAAACUGAGCUGGACUUCAAUUUCUCUCGCCCCCUCCCCUCCCAGCUGGCUCGGGUUUUCUUUCUUCUGUGUGCGCAUCUCCCGCCCAUACUAGCAGGAUCACCCUGACCAAUGGCAAGGCUAAACACGCCACAGUAUUGUGGCAGACAGAAUAUUUUGAAGAUCACACUUGGAAGGAUUUUCAAGCCCUGAUGGAAAUUCAUAGGAAGGAGUUUGUUCACGCAACAGCGGCUGCCUCAACAGAGGCAACAAGGAGAGGCUUAGUUCACCUAGCAAGCUUGAAGAACUUGUUUAUUUUUCUCAUGUUGACCGAACAUAUCUUGAGGUUAUGAUGUGGGCAACUACCAAAGAAGUAACUUUUUCCAGCACUUGCGUAGUGUACUCAUCCAUUAAAACGUAAAUAAAACUUA